GAUGAAGAACGUAGCGAAAUGCGAUAAGUAAUGUGAAUUGCAGAAUUCAGUGAAUCAUCGAAUCUUUGAACUCACAUUGCGCCCGCCAGUAUUCUGGCGGGCAUGCCUGUCCGAGCGUCAUUUCAACCAUCAAGCCCCCGGGCUUGUGUUGGGGACCUGCGGCUGCCCGCAGGCCCUGAAAACCAGUGGCGGGCUCGCUGUCACACCGAGCGUAGUAGCAAUCACCUCGCUCAGGGCGUGCUGCGGGUUCCGGCCGUUAAACAGCCUUACAAAACCCAAGGUUGACCUCGGAUCAGGUAGGAAGACCCGCUGAACUUAAGCAUAUCAAUAAGCGGAGGA
RNAcentral lists this unclassified non-coding RNA (339 nucleotides) under soil metagenome. Its description in RNAcentral is "partial contains 5.8S ribosomal RNA, internal transcribed spacer 2, and large subunit ribosomal RNA". The stretch from base 1 to 120 matches the Rfam family "5.8S ribosomal RNA", at positions 35 to 154 of the family's 154-position model. The record is from RNAcentral.